Molecule: ribosomal RNA, 902 nt
Filed under: Escherichia coli
Lineage: Bacteria; Pseudomonadati; Pseudomonadota; Gammaproteobacteria; Enterobacterales; Enterobacteriaceae
Description: partial 23S ribosomal RNA
Rfam family: Bacterial large subunit ribosomal RNA
Source: RNAcentral
CUCGCUGUGAAGAUGCAGUGUACCCGCGGCAAGACGGAAAGACCCCGUGAACCUUUACUAUAGCUUGACACUGAACAUUGAGCCUUGAUGUGUAGGAUAGGUGGGAGGCUUUGAAGUGUGGACGCCAGUCUGCAUGGAGCCGACCUUGAAAUACCACCCUUUAAUGUUUGAUGUUCUAACGUUGACCCGUAAUCCGGGUUGCGGACAGUGUCUGGUGGGUAGUUUGACUGGGGCGGUCUCCUCCUAAAGAGUAACGGAGGAGCACGAAGGUUGGCUAAUCCUGGUCGGACAUCAGGAGGUUAGUGCAAUGGCAUAAGCCAGCUUGACUGCGAGCGUGACGGCGCGAGCAGGUGCGAAAGCAGGUCAUAGUGAUCCGGUGGUUCUGAAUGGAAGGGCCAUCGCUCAACGGAUAAAAGGUACUCCGGGGAUAACAGGCUGAUACCGCCCAAGAGUUCAUAUCGACGGCGGUGUUUGGCACCUCGAUGUCGGCUCAUCACAUCCUGGGGCUGAAGUAGGUCCCAAGGGUAUGGCUGUUCGCCAUUUAAAGUGGUACGCGAGCUGGGUUUAGAACGUCGUGAGACAGUUCGGUCCCUAUCUGCCGUGGGCGCUGGAGAAUUGAGGGGGGCUGCUCCUAGUACGAGAGGACCGGAGUGGACGCAUCACUGGUGUUCGGGUUGUCAUGCCAAUGGCACUGCCCGGUAGCUAAAUGCGGAAGAGAUAAGUGCUGAAAGCAUCUAAGCACGAAACUUGCCCCGAGAUGAGUUCUCCCUGACUCCUUGAGAGUCCUGAAGGAACGUUGAAGACGACGACGUUGAUAGGCCGGGUGUGUAAGCGCAGCGAUGCGUUGAGCUAACCGGUACUAAUGAACCGUGAGGCUUAACCUUACAACGCCGAAGGUGUUU